Molecule: transfer RNA, 72 nt
Filed under: Ictidomys tridecemlineatus (thirteen-lined ground squirrel)
Lineage: Eukaryota; Metazoa; Chordata; Mammalia; Rodentia; Sciuridae
Description: Spermophilus tridecemlineatus (thirteen-lined ground squirrel) tRNA
Rfam family: tRNA
About the family: Transfer RNA (tRNA) molecules are approximately 80 nucleotides in length.
Source: Rfam by way of RNAcentral
UAGGGUGUGGCUCAGUGGUAGAGCACUUGCCUAGAAGGUGUUAAGCCCUGGGUUCCAUCCCCAGCAUCACAA